AUAUUGAAACACUGGUUAUAAUAAACUCAGAGUGGCCAUCAGCCCUCUCCGCAUCUAUCCUGAUGUGCACAUUGGAUUGCGACACCGACAGAUGGCUAUCCUUGGGACGUACUGUAUGUUACCCGCUUUGCAUCUUUUCUCCAGAACACCCUUCCUUCAUUUGCCUCUGACUUGUUAUAUGUCAAGAAGAUGAACAUGUGGUUUAAGAGUGAGAACUAUGACCUGAUGCCUUUAAAUGGGAACUACAAAUAAUACGUGUUUUAUCAUUCAAAAGAGUGGGGUACUCAUUUCAGCUGAAUUUCUUCUCUCUAGGUCUUACUUUGGUUGUCUCAUUGAGACUCGAGGGGUUAAAUUAAAGAAUGCAUAGGUGACGUGAUAUACCUGAGACCAUGUAUGGGAUGAAAAUCUUAUUGAAAUUAGUUGAGGGAGGAAAGGAGUAUGGAAGAAUACAAAAUGGGGAUGGAGCAGGCAGCUGGAUCGCCCUGACAUGCAGGAAUCAUGUAUGGUAGCCAGAAGCCAUAGUGUAGAAUUUUGAGGGCUGAGCCAACUCAUAAAUUGUUUUUCUGAGGAAUAUCUUGUCCAUGUUUAUGGGUAAAUGGGGAUAGCAAUAAUAACACCUACUCCUCAAGUCUGUUGUGGUAUUCAAUAGGAUAAAAAAUAUAAGAAUUACUUUGUAAACUAUAAAGCUUUACAAAUAUUGGUUCUUAUUAGUCUCAAAUUUUCUGAUAUGCUUCUAAGGAGUAAUUAACAAAGUAGUGUUAAUCAACAUUUCUGAGCAAGUAGGAAGUCUCAAAAUGAAUGUACACACCUCCUCUGCCACCGAUGGGGUGACAUCUCUGCAGGACAGUCAGGAAGCACGGAGCACGCAGCGCAAUGGAGAGUCACGGAACUGAUGGAGCCUGUAUAACUGUAUCCUGAGGAAAGAGCCUGUGUUCAAUGAUGAGCUCCCAUCCCACAUCCUACGUGGCACCGUGUCCAUCUCUGUGAAGGAGUUCACAGAGACCUCAGCCAUGUUUGAGGAUGGGACUGUGUUUGAGGCCAUUGACUCCAUCAUCUUUGCAACAGGCUAUGAUUACACCUACCCCUUCCUUGAUGACUCCAUCAUCAAAAGCAGAAACAAUGAGACCCAUGGUCUCCAGGGGCUACCAGUAUGCUUAUGUGAGGAAAUCAAGAAUAUGAAGAUUACAUGGAGAAAGACAGUGUCUCAAAUACAUUGAUUUCAAUUUACUCCAAUCACAUUGAUCAUCAUUGUUAUUGAAAGUGUCUCGAACCUAAGGGUUUGAGAAUCUUGGCCAAUAUAAGUAUACUUUACCUAACAUACUAUCCAUAAAAACUUAGACUAUAGGUAAUGAAGAAAAUGUUACAAUCAUAGAGUGUGUGUAUGUUUUCUAAAAAUGUUAUGAAUAAAUAAAC
RNAcentral lists this long non-coding RNA (1413 nucleotides) under Equus asinus (donkey). RNAcentral's name for it is "lncRNA (ENSEASG00005029224.1)". The record is from RNAcentral. Lineage: Eukaryota; Metazoa; Chordata; Mammalia; Perissodactyla; Equidae.